RNAcentral lists this ribosomal RNA (253 nucleotides) under uncultured bacterium. Its description in RNAcentral is "partial 16S ribosomal RNA". It matches the Rfam family "Bacterial small subunit ribosomal RNA", at positions 524 to 776 of the family's 1533-position model. The record is from RNAcentral.
UACGGAGGGUGCAAGCGUUAUCCGGAUUCACUGGGUUUAAAGGGUGCGUAGGCGGGUUGGUAAGCCCGUGGUGAAAUCUCCGAGCUUAACUCGGAAACUGCCGUGGAUACUAUCAAUCUUGAAUAUCGUGGAGGUAAGCGGAAUAUGUCAUGUAGCGGUGAAAUGCUUAGAUAUGACAUAGAACACCAAUUGCGUAGGCAGCUUACUACACGAUCAUUGACGCUGAGGCACGAAAGCGUGGGGAGCAAACAGG